GUGAGAUGGACUUACCUGAGCGGCAUCUACAAUCAUGCCUCGCCGGCGUAAAACCUGUGCUGUGUUCUGUGUUGUUGUUGAUUGUGAUGUGUACAGCUGGCAGCAGGAAAGCUGCAGCAGAAUGUACUGUUACAGCAGCCAUGUGAUUAUUGUAAGAAUAAAUCAUGCUGUGAAGCAUGAAAAUGCCAUCAGGUCUGCCAUGGCAGUUUACUUUUUUUUUUUCUUUUUUUUUUUUUUUUUUAAUAAAAAUUUUUCAAUAAAUUGCGCAAACCAGUAAACAAAUCAAAACAAGUACUGUUGAGAAACUAUAAUACAAAAUUUAAAAUUAAAAUUCUCAAUAACAAUAACUGGUAAAAAUAUAAAUAAUAUGUAAACAACAGGCACGUGCAGAGGGGGAGCUAGAGGGGCUUUUUUUUUUUUUUAAUUCUUUUUUUUUUUUUUAAUGUGUGUGCGUGCGGAGUCCUGUCUGUGCCCCUCAACAAUAAUAUUUAACUAUUAAUCACAGUUUUGCUAAAUAAAAGGAUCUGGCUUGCAUCAGUCACAUGAUCACAUUUAACCAAUGAUCGCCCUCGACGGCAGAACGUGCUGGUUACGAGCCGGGAACGAGCUCACAAAGAGCACGCGCAUUUUUUCCGGUCCGGAGCUGUAGGAGAAACACAAGUUAACUCAGAGACACAGACUGAUGCGACAAAACCAUCUCAGAUCAACACAGCCCUGCCCUCCAGCACUAUCCACAGCAACCCCUCAACAGCAACAUUGUACCCAUCAGGUAAAGCAUCGGCUACAUUUGCUUUGCCUUGUUGCCCAUAUUAGAUUCUUGAUGAAUGUGUGUUGUUGUUAUUCAGCCUGGUUCAAUGUGCCCCUUUUUAACUCUGAGCACCUGCCCCUCUAAACCUCUCUGCACGGCCCUGGUAAACAACUUAACAACCCCCAACGCGUCUAAGUCAAGUCACGUGACAGCGCAACAUGUAAACACAGGAGGGGGAAGAGGGAGCAAAGUGCCUCUGCUCUGCGCUGACACAGGAGCAGCGAGUCCAGCGACCUGGCUGUUUCAUGCCAUGCCAUCAAUGAGGAUUGUCCAGACUGAGAGACCUCUUCUGAAGCAAACAUGAAUCAACAUGUGAACAUGACCUGAUGCUGCUGAAGUGAAGCAAAGUUACAGAGGUUUGAUUACAGACACAGCUGAGAGUUUGUAAUCUGUCAUCAUUUUAAAAGGUUUAAAUUUCUUCAGUAUUGAACAGCAGAAAUGAGGCUUUGUUUUCGGAGGCCGACAGCAGUGAACACAACAGCAGACUGAUUGAUGGACUGUAGUUUGUCAGAGAUCAGCUGUGAUUGUCUGGCAGCAGCGCUGAAGUCCAACCCCUCCCAUCUGAGACAGCUGGACCUGUGGGGAAACAACCUGAAGGAUCCAGAUGUGAAGCAGCUGUGGGAUCUUUAGCAGAGUCCAGACUACAGACUGGAGACUCUGAGGUGGAGGUGAUGAUGGUAAACAGGACGGUGUGUGUGCUGAGGGAGGAGAAGCUGUGUCCUGAUGAUCCAGAGAGGUUGAAGCAGCAGCAGCUUGUGUGUAGAGAUGCUCUGACUGGGCCAUGUUACUGGGAGGUGGAGAGGAGAGCUUCAUCCAGCAGUGACUGACAGAGGAAUAAGCAGAAGUGCAGAUGACUGUCAGUGCUGCAGAGUGAACUGCUCUGAGAACAGCUCCACUAUCAGACACAAUGUAGAGUCCAGCAUCAUCCCUGUGUGUCCCUCUGGAUCUGACAGAGGAUCAUCAGUGUAUCUGGACUGCUCUGCUGCUGCUCUGUCCUUCUACAGUCUCUGCACAGUCUCUGUCUGACUCUGGCUUCAGAUCCUCCUGGAUCAAACUCACCUGGAAAGACUUUCAAACAUCACUCAAUAGAUUUGAAUACAGAAUAUAUUUGAUAUAUACUGUAGAUGUACUUUAGAGUUGCAGUUUGUCACUUGUAAAUACAGUCUGUGAGCAACUAUGAGCUGAAAGAUCUUUCUAGAAAUACAAAAUGUUUUCGCUCUUCUGUUGCUUUUUCAUAUAUUUCCACAACAUUAAUAUUGAUCCCACCUGUCUCACCUGUUUCAUGCUUUUAUACAUAAAACCGGACUCGUGUGAUUUGAGGCUGCUGUGGUUGCUGUGCUGCACGUCUUCAUUUAGAUAAUAGAGUUAUCUAGUGGUUCAGAGGGAGAACUGCAGGAGGUGGAGCUGUGUUUUAGCAUGGAAAACUUUUUAUCUUUUAGGCGCAGAUACAAAUAUGACAAGUAUCAGUGUAAGAUACAAAAGGUCACAUCAGUCAGCAGAGGGAACAGUGAUCACACAGAAAUGUAAGAAUAGAAACAUAACAGUGAAUCUGGACAUGUAUACAGAUGGAAGCAAACAAACAGGAUGUAACACUACAUUAAAGCCACAAAUGGGAAGAAAACAACCCCAAAGGAAAAUAUAUUUGAUCUCAGGAAUCCAAAUCAGAUGCUUUAGAGCAGGGAUCGACAAGCCUGGGCAUGCGUGUCACAGCUGGUACGUGAAGGGUUAACUGAUGGCACGAUCAUAGCUGCACUGGCCAUCGGGCAUACCGAUGGUGAUUUUUGUUUUUAUGGGGGGAAAAUGAUGGUUUUUUUUGUUUUUUUUGUGUUUUUUUGUAACGGUAUAAACGAUGAAAGGUGGUGGAUUGGCCACACUGUAAGAGAUAUACAUAAAAAUUACAGUUAAUAACUGUAAAAUGGCAUCAGUAAAAACAGUAAACAUUGAAUCAAAAAGAGUAAUUGAUUGUAAUAUGGACAUUACAUUUCUGUAAAUUGAAAAACAGUGAUUUGCUUUGGUGCCGCUUCUUAAUGACGGUAUCUUAGCUAACAACCCCAACUACCAGAUUAAACUUGUAACUGGCUAAAAAUAACUUAGCCUACCGGUGAGAGGGACGUUGCUAGCUGGCAGUUUUUUCAAGCAAUGUUGAACGUUCCAUAUUCAGACACUUCAAAAGCUUCAGGAGCAUCAGCACCACGUAAAU
Long non-coding RNA from Astatotilapia calliptera (eastern happy), 3008 nucleotides. NCBI's taxonomy places the organism in Eukaryota, Metazoa, Chordata, Actinopteri, Cichliformes, Cichlidae. The record is from Ensembl.